This 104-nucleotide microRNA precursor is filed under the name Branchiostoma belcheri (Belcher's lancelet). RNAcentral describes it as "microRNA bbe-mir-252a precursor". Its record names the gene bbe-mir-252a. The stretch from base 13 to 87 matches the Rfam family "mir-252 microRNA precursor family". The record is from miRBase by way of RNAcentral. Lineage: Eukaryota; Metazoa; Chordata; Leptocardii; Amphioxiformes; Branchiostomatidae.
AAUGACUGGCCUGCUCCAUGCUAAGUACUAGUGCCGCAGGUGUCUGUGUUUCCUCGAACCCCUGCAGACUGGUGCUUAACAUGGGACAGGUAAUACUGCCACCU